GCCCGCCUAGCUCAAUCGGAUAGAGCGUCAGACUCUUACGAGCGGGUGAUCUGAAGGCUGCGAGUUCGACCCUCGCGGUGGGCU
This 84-nucleotide transfer RNA is filed under the name Trametes punicea. RNAcentral's name for it is "tRNA-Lys". It matches the Rfam family "tRNA". From Rfam's summary of the family: Transfer RNA (tRNA) molecules are approximately 80 nucleotides in length. The record is from RNAcentral. RNAcentral also lists the same sequence under 1 other name. Lineage: Eukaryota; Fungi; Basidiomycota; Agaricomycetes; Polyporales; Polyporaceae.